Molecule: ribosomal RNA, 506 nt
Filed under: uncultured bacterium
Lineage: Bacteria
Description: partial 16S ribosomal RNA
Rfam family: Bacterial small subunit ribosomal RNA
Source: RNAcentral
AGUGAACGCUGGCGGUAGGCCUAACACAUGCAAGUCGAACGACAGCACAGGAGAGCUUGCUCUCUGGGUGGCGAGUGGCGGACGGGUGAGGAAUACAUCGGAAUCUACUUUUUCGUGGGGGAUAACGUAGGGAAACUUACGCUAAUACCGCAUACGACCUACGGGUGAAAGCAGGGGAUCUUCGGACCUUUCGCGAUUGAAUGAGCCGAUGUCGGAUUAGCUAGUUGGCGGGGUAAAGGCCCACCAAGGCGACGAUCCGUAGCUGGUCUGAGAGGAUGAUCAGCCACACUGGAACUGAGACACGGUCCAGACUCCUACGGGAGGCAGCAGUGGGGAAUAUUGGACAAUGGGCGCAAGCCUGAUCCAGCCAUACCGCGUGGGUGAAGAAGGCCUUCGGGUUGUAAAGCCCUUUUGUUGGGAAAGAAAUCCAGCUGGUUAAUACCCGGUUGGGAUGACGGUACCCAAAGAAUAAGCACCGGCUAACUUCGUGCCAGCAGCCGCGGUAA